AGGAUUCCCUCAGUAGCGGCGAGUGAAGCGGGAUCAGCCCAGCGCCGAAUCCCCGUGCCUGCGUGGUGCGCGGGAAAUGUGGCGUAAGGAAGCCCCACUCCGUGCCUGCGCCCGGGCUCACGUCCUUCUGAUCAGGCCUUCCCACAGAGGGUGUCAGGCCCCCACGGCCCACGGCCUGGGCGGAACACGGCUUUCAGGAGUCGGGUUGUUUUGGAAUGCAGCCCAAAGACGGGUGGUAAACUCCAUCCAAGGCUAAAUACUGGCACGAGUCCGAUAGCGAACAAGUACCGUGAGGGAAAGUUGAAAAGCACUUUGAAGAGAGAGUUCAAGAGUACGUGAAACCGCUAAGAAGCAAACGGGUGGGCCCGCAAAGUGGCACGGGAGAUUCAGCGUGUCGGGGAGUACGUCCGCCGGGCUUCAGGAUCCGCAAGGACCGCUGGGCGGCGGCUCGUGCCUCCGACGCGUGCACUUUUUCCGCGCGCAGAGCUGACGACCGGCUGGGAGUCUACCAAAAGGCUGACCGGCAGGUUCCUCCUACAGUUCUCGGACUCGGGAGAGCUUACAGCCGGCUUGCAACGGCUAGACGCCCGGUCGAGGAAGGGUAUCCGCGCCUGCCCCGCCGUGGCUGGGCCCCCUGUCUCCCGCAGGUUGCGUCGGAGCGGGACUGUCCUCAGUGUCGUUCCGGUGCAGCCUACGGCUGCGCAGAUCGGGUCUCAUCAGGCGCUUUCGGGUCGGUCAGCGAGGUCGGUCGCCCACCCGACCCGUCUUGAAACACGGACCAAGGAGUCUAACACGCCCGCGAGUCGUAGGGACUGGAAGCCCGAAGGCGCAAUGAAAGUGAAGGCCGGCCCGUCUGGCCGAGGUGGGAUCCCGUCGCUCGGCGGCGGGCGCACCMCUGCCCCGUCUCGAUCGCUUCCGUCGACGAGGCGGAGGAGGAGCGUGUGCGUUAGGACCCGAAAGAUGGUGAACUAUGCCUGAGCAGGACGAAGCCAGAGGAAACUCUGGUGGAAGUGCCGCAGCGAUUCUGACGUGCAAAUCGAUCGUC
This 1045-nucleotide ribosomal RNA is filed under the name Neogymnocrinus richeri. Its description in RNAcentral is "eukaryotic LSU rRNA". It matches the Rfam family "Eukaryotic large subunit ribosomal RNA", at positions 71 to 906 of the family's 3401-position model. Lineage: Eukaryota; Metazoa; Echinodermata; Crinoidea; Cyrtocrinida; Sclerocrinidae. The record is from RNAcentral.